GAGUGGGAGUGCCUUCCACCCCCUCCCAACCAAAGGACUUUGGUUGAAGGAGAGAAAGAGAAUGACACUGGGGUUCACGGCAAGGUCUCCUGUCCACGUGGUGAUGUGGCUGCAGAGGCUUCCGGUGGGAACACAUGGACUUCCCACCCCCGUGCUCCAUCUGCCCACACUCGGUCAUAUCUUUGCUACCUUCCUGGCAUCUGAAGGGUCUAGGAGUCUGAAUGCCAUUAGUCACCACACUGCCAGGCAUCUACGUGGAUACAGACAUAGGAGGGACUCUCAGGGGAGAGCUAGCAACCAAAACACCCCACACCAUGGCUUGCUGGUCAUUAGGAGCCUUGGGAUUCACACCAUUUCUUGCACCCUCUGAUGUGACAUCUUUCCCGUGAGCCCUUCUGUAGUCUCCUUAUAGAGCAAUAGCAAAGGAUUUCCAGCUCCCCUGGGAAGCUUAUGAUGAAAUCAUAUUUAUAAAUCUGCUCACUCUUUCCACCACUCUGCUUUUACCAGAAUUUUUGUAAGUGUGCUCUCUUAAUCUUACAGUUAAUAAAUUAAAUGAAGAAGAAACAAAGGAAAAAUGCUGGAUCUCAGAGCACAUCUCAGAGGCUUACGGGUGCGAUAGUUGUAGAAGGGAACUUGAGCCAGCCACCACCGGAGUCUGGGGUCUGGCUUCAGCAUCUCUGGGAAUGUUCAAGGCAUUCUACCCACCCCAGAGGUCUUUAAUCCCUGGGC
This is a long non-coding RNA of Bos taurus (domestic cattle), 729 nucleotides long. NCBI's taxonomy places the organism in Eukaryota, Metazoa, Chordata, Mammalia, Artiodactyla, Bovidae. The record is from Ensembl.